This 207-nucleotide ribosomal RNA is filed under the name uncultured bacterium. Its description in RNAcentral is "partial 16S ribosomal RNA". It matches the Rfam family "Bacterial small subunit ribosomal RNA", at positions 568 to 774 of the family's 1533-position model. The record is from RNAcentral.
UGCGUAGGCGGUUCGUCGCGUCCGGUGUGAAAGUCCAUCGCUUAACGGUGGAUCUGCGCCGGGUACGGGCGGGCUGGAGUGCGGUAGGGGAGACUGGAAUUCCCGGUGUAACGGUGGAAUGUGUAGAUAUCGGGAAGAACACCAAUGGCGAAGGCAGGUCUCUGGGCCGUUACUGACGCUGAGGAGCGAAAGCGUGGGGAGCGAACA